CAAUAGCGUAUAUUAAAGCUGUUGCGGUUAAAAAGCUCGUAGUUGGAUUUCUGUCAAGUACAACUGGUCCGCCCUCCGGGUGAGCACAUAGUUUGGUCUUGGCAUCUUGCUGGAAAUUGUUGCUGCACUUGGCUGUGUGGCGCAGUGUCCAGCACUUUCACUUUGAGGAAAUUGGAGUGUUUCAAGCAGGCAAUGCCUUUGAACACAGUAGCAUGGAAUAAUUAGAUUAGGCUUUUGCUCCAAUUUGUCGGUUUCUGGAGCUGAGGUGAGAAUUAAUGGGGAUUGUUGGGGGCAUCCGAAUUUAGCCGUCAGAGGUGAAAUUCUUGGAUCGGCUAAAGACGGACAACUGCGAAAGCGUUUGCCCAGGAUGUUUUCAUUGA
RNAcentral lists this ribosomal RNA (380 nucleotides) under uncultured eukaryote. RNAcentral describes it as "partial 18S ribosomal RNA". It matches the Rfam family "Eukaryotic small subunit ribosomal RNA", at positions 592 to 976 of the family's 1831-position model. The record is from RNAcentral.